This 1951-nucleotide long non-coding RNA is filed under the name Salmo salar (Atlantic salmon). RNAcentral describes it as "lncRNA (ENSSSAG00000110849.1)". Lineage: Eukaryota; Metazoa; Chordata; Actinopteri; Salmoniformes; Salmonidae. The record is from RNAcentral.
CCACUGGCAGAACAGCCUCCUAUCAAGCGGUGGCACAUGCCCGCCUCCCGUGCCAAGGCCGAGCGGAAAUGGAAGAAUAGCCAACGAGGGCGCAGGAAGAGAGUGAAGCCCAUUCACUGGGACGUUAACUUUAAGUCUGGGCCUUUCUUCCCAGUGUGUGUCUCUCCAUCACUGCCCUCGAUCUUGGAGGUGGAUGAAGAGUCUCUUUCUGAAGAGAUGGAGCAAAGCCAGUUGUAGGGUGUCACUUUAUUUAAAUAGGCAAGUUAGUUAAGAACAAAUUCUUAUUGACAAUGACAGCCUACCCCGGCCAAACCCUAACGACACUGGGCAUAAUCACAGGAUUAUGCUUCCGCGCCCGUCUACAAGAGAAAGCACACCCACCUCGCCCCUCUUCACCCCUCCCACUACCCCCCUGCUGUCCCGUGGGUCGUCUCUUUCUGAAGAGAUGGAGCAAAGCCAGUUGUAGGGGAGGGUCGCACACACACACAACUUAUUUUUUAUUUACCUUUAUUUAAAUAGGCAAGUUAGUUAUAACAAAUUCUUAUUUACAAUGACGACCAACCCCGGCAAAACGAUAACACUGACGACACUGGGCCAAUUGUGCGCCGCCCUAUGAGAUCAGUGCCUUAGACCGCUGUGCCAAUCGGGAGCCCUAUUGAGACCUCAUGGCCUCCCAUGGACCAGAGAGGAUCAGCCAGCAUCAUCCCAGCGUCUGCCCUGCCUGCCAUCCUAGUACCUCCACUGCCCUUUCAACCCCAAACCACAAAGGGCAGGUGACAGAAAUGAUCCAGCGCCCACCGAUCCAGGCUGUUGUGCAUGAGCAGCAGCAGAUACUGUCAGAAGUACUGUUGGAACAGACUUUUCCUAUGAGACCCAACAGGAGCCACAAGCUGUCAAAGUACUUUCAUCCCUGGGGUGUGUAGCUUCUCGAAGAGUGUUCUCUUCCUGAAGAUGGACUGCUUCAACCCCUUGGGAGUAUCCAGAGUAUCUUGUACGCUGGUGUGAUGAUAGAAUAUGUCCAUCAGUAUCAACUCGAGAUUAAUGUUAAUCCACUUGUUAUUCUAGUUAGGCAAAUGUUCAUUUAUCAUCAGCAUGUUACAAAGAAUUCUGUUUCUAUAAAGUUUUAUUGCAGUUGAAAAUGAUCUGUGGUGUGUGUUGUUGGUUUCUUGUGAAGUAUGAAGUAUACAAUUUUAGUAGAAUGUUUAUUUCUUCAUUGGAUUUGUUGAUUUGUUGACCAAGGAGAAGAGGUAAGUGCUGACCGGACUAAUAGAAGUGAAGGUCCGAUUCAAAUUUGUAUUAAUCUGAAGGAGGCACAUCUGACUCACACCUUAGUGCCAUAAUUGUUCACAUUUUCAAUGUAUAGCAGCACUGACAAAUUCUCAGGUGGAACUAUUUGUACUACAGCAUUGGAAAUGAGGAUCUAUCCAAACACAGUGUUUAUGAAAUGUGAGAAUGCUGAACAACAUUUUCUGACCAAUAGGCUUGUUUGUCGUAAUAUUUGGCCAAAAUGUUCUUUGCUUGAGUCAAGAGGUCCUUUCUCAACUUGCACAUGUAAGGGAAGCAGACAGCUGCAGAUUUAAUAUAACUGCUGGGUUACGCGGUAACCAGGUCUCUCUUGCCAAAAGAACCCACUUUUGCAAGAAAGACCUGGAUAGUGCCACAUAACGCUUAUGUAAAUUCUUCCUUUUAUACAAAUAAAAAUGACCCCUUUAUCUGGAAUAGAUGUAGUGUUGCCUUACAUUUGUGAAAUGUGAAUGACAUUUGCUUAGCCUUCAAACUGUGCUUCGUUUAAAAUACUGUUGGUUGGACUGCGAGGCAGUCAAUGUAUCGUUUUUCUUUUGAUCUGAAGCCUGACACUGUACGACACGUCGUGUCUCAUUCUCCUUCUUUUGAAUAAAGCUUCCUCUACAUGAUUUUAUUCUAACAUCGUCCAUGUUUUUUUUGCAACCCU